Molecule: transfer RNA, 69 nt
Filed under: Affinundibacterium seohonense
Lineage: Bacteria; Pseudomonadati; Pseudomonadota; Betaproteobacteria; Burkholderiales; Oxalobacteraceae
Also listed under: 2 other names
Description: tRNA-Phe
Rfam family: tRNA
About the family: Transfer RNA (tRNA) molecules are approximately 80 nucleotides in length. Their secondary structure includes four short double-helical elements and three loops (D, anti-codon, and T loops). Further hydrogen bonds mediate the characteristic L-shaped molecular structure. tRNAs have two regions of fundamental functional importance: the anti-codon, which is responsible for specific mRNA codon recognition, and the 3' end, to which the tRNAs corresponding amino acid is attached (by aminoacyl-tRNA synthetases). tRNAs cope with the degeneracy of the genetic code in two manners: having more than one tRNA (with a specific anti-codon) for a particular amino acid; and 'wobble' base-pairing, i.e. permitting non-standard base-pairing at the 3rd anti-codon position.
Source: RNAcentral
GUUUUUAAAUGAUUUAAUCGAGGAUUGAAAAUCCUUGUGUCGGUGGUUCGAUUCCGCCCCGGGCCACCA